This 480-nucleotide long non-coding RNA is filed under the name Cyanistes caeruleus (blue tit). RNAcentral describes it as "lncRNA (ENSCCEG00000018416.1)". The record is from RNAcentral. Lineage: Eukaryota; Metazoa; Chordata; Aves; Passeriformes; Paridae.
UAAAUGUAGAUGAGGAGCUGGAGCUCAGAAUUGAAAACAUCUCUGUUUCCUCAGAGACCACCAUUUAAAGGCUGAUGAGGUUGGAGCCAAAGGCAAGACACAGGCAGGAGCUGAGAAGCCAAUACAGCUGUCAGCUGAUGCAGGAACAGGAAGAGAAUUAUUUUCACAAGCUGGCAUGUUUAGGAGAGAAGCAUUCUUGUCCUCAUCAGAGACAUCAGUGAUCGUGUCCUCGUUGCCUGGAACCCUCUUGGGAAAAAUGAGCAAGAGUUCAGGAAAUCUCGUGUGUAGAUAAGCAGACACCACCAACAACUGAAAAGUAUGGUGGAGACAUAUGAAAGCCCAGUUCUUCUACAGAAGCCCAGCCAACUCCAGGAGCAAUCGAAGAAAUUCCCUGCAGUUAAAAAAGAAAUAGUGAGGCCAUUUCCCAGUGAAGAAUUUUCUCACAUGGAAUUUCUCAUUGGCUCUGGUUGGUGCCCCUAA